CAGGAUCAAAUCCUCUGCUUACCAACCAGUGAGUAGUAGAGGAUUCAGUUCUGUGGGUUUCUGCUUCUGCAGCAUGUUCGCGGUAGGGAAAACUCUGGCAAAGCAGAUCCCUGCAGCUUUCCUGCCCAAUGUCCCCUGACAGUUCUGGAUCGCUAUGGGUGGCCUGAGCAUAGAGAUCCAGGGCUGUUUCUAUCCAAUUUAGUCAAAGCCCAGAUCUCCCCCACACCUGAAUCAACCUGAUUUGGCCUGGGCUUCAGGCUUCAGGCAAAUACGGUGCACAGCUUUUGUUAAUCUUGUGUCUUCCUGUUCAAAUCCCAUUGAAAUAUAGUCCACUAGCUUGAGGGUGGCACUGUGGUCUAAACCACUGAACCUCUUGGCUUGCUGAUUGGAAGGUCAGCGGUUUGAAUCCACGCGACGGGGUGAGCUCCUGUUGCUCUGUCCCACCUCCUGCCAACCUAACAGUUUGCAAGCACACUAACGCAAGUAGAUAAAUAGCUACCACUGUGAUGGGAAGCUAAACGGUGUUUCAAUGCUGUUAAGUUGUGGGUGAACAUAUCAGACAACACAGCGAUUCUUCAAACAGCUCUUGUUUAUUCAGAGGCCAGAACAGAACUGAACUGAAGGGUUCAGCCAGCCUGCUUAUAUAGAGCUCCAGUACAACGUAACUGUAACAACUUUCUGUAACUAUCCAAUCACUGAAUGUCACUUUUGAUCCCUUAUUUGCAUAUGUGGACUUGAACUAUCUACAGUAUCCCCCUGCUGGCCCAGGGUGAGAACUUCAGUACAUAACAAAUGCACUCUGGCACUCGUCAUGGUGUCCCGUUGCACCAAAACCCAUUUAGUCAUGAUGGUGACAUGACCCAGAAAGCUGUCUGUGGACAAACGCCAGCUCCCUCAGCCUGAAGCAAGAUGAGCACCGUAUCCCAUAGUCAAGUUAGAUUGGAUUUAACCCUCCAGGGAUCCUUUACCUUUACCUUUUACUAGCUUGCCCUGAUGCAGUAGUGUACUCUUGUACAACUUGCAUUAAUUUCAGGGAGACUUGUACAGGAGAACCUCCAGGUGUAUUGUGUUUUUGGACAUAAAUGAAUCAGUGAAAUGGCUUCCAUGGGUUAUAUUUCAGUUUGCCUGAGCCUCCUGCCAUAGAAUGAUCCUAAAGGACGGCUUAGCGGUGAGUGAGCGUUUGUCAUACAAAUGAAAUAUUUAAGCUCCUUGUAAGUUCCAAUAAAAGAAACAGUCCCUGCAUUGUAGGAAUGCAGUGUUUUAAUCCCCUUUCUCUAGAAUAUGUAUUUCCCAAGCACUGCGCAUCGACGCAAAACACAUUAGUGCUAAUGUCAGAACUCUUACAAUCCACCUGGCAUUAAAGAGCUGUAAAAUGUUGCCAUGUGGACUUUCUGGACAAUAUCAUUUUAGAAACAACGUGUGCUAUGGAAUUAAUUAACAGGGCCAACAUGUAUAAAACAUACAUUUUUAUUGUUUCUUAUGUACUAUAAAAUUUGCAAGAAAGACGGGCCUGGGAAAGCCAUGCCGUCUUGCAAGGCAUUGUGUUGGAAAGGGCUGGGCAAAAGCAGAUGGAAAGUCUGAAAAUGAAAUGAGAACAGAUGGGGAGUCUGAUGGUGAAAUUCAAACAGGAGUAAUUUGGAAUUUACAUUGCUGAGCUCAGACAUGCAUUUAUGGAGUUCUGAUAAGGAGAAAGAGUUAAAAUGUACCGUAUAGGCUUCACUCUGAUUCAGAAUACCUCACAGAAUCCUUGUGUCUCCACAAUCCAAAAAUCACAUAUAUUCUUGGAUAUGUUGCAAUCAGUGGUGUAGUAGUGAAUUUUGAACUUCAGCAGCUCAUCAUGACCCACAAUCCCAAGAAGUGUCCUAGAAUGUAGGCAGCUAUGUUGAUUCAACACACACACACACAGAGAGAGAGAGAGAGAGAGAGAGAGAGAGAGAGACUUCUCAAAGGGCAUCAGCAUAAUAAUUCAUUAGGGUUAGAUGACAAACUUAGAGUAGAUAUUUAUAGAAUAACGUCAACUUCUAAAAGACGGUUGAGCUUUAACAAAAAGACCUUCAGCCAGCUGAAAUGCAACCCAUUCACUUUCAAUCUUGCAAAAAGUAUUACCAUUUAAACUCCUAGCAUGAAGCAGGACUUCUACCAAAAAAAGGAGGAACAAGUACCUAGCCUUUGCUUGAUUUUUUCCCUUCUAGAAAAACACUGAACUUUAACAAAAAAUACCUUCAGCAAGUUGAUGAAUUACUAGCACUGUGCUAGAUGCUCUAUAUAUUUAAUUGAAUUUUUAUUGCUUCUCUUAUUUCUUAUAUAUUGGAUUGCAAUCCAACUCCAUGUAAAUAAAAUUUAAAAAUAACAUAAAUAUUUAAUGUGAUGGAUGUACCUGUCGUGCCCGCCCUGCUUACCUGCCAGGUGGACUACUGGGUUCUAGGGCCCCUUCCACUGGACCCCUUUUUUCACAGCUGCUUCUGCUGUCCUUCCCAGAUGUGCCUCAGACCAUCGGAAUGAAGAUUAUGAGCCACUGGUUGUCUGCAGACCACAUUUUGGGAAUCCCUGCUUUAUGGCAAUACUUAUCCAUACUUCUGGAAGUUGACAAAGGAGUGAUAAUAGCCUGGGAUAGUCAGGUGAUACAGCUUCUUGAUACAGGACCAUUUGGGGAUUGUCUGAACAGGAAAAAUUGAUGAGAGAAAAAGGUUGGGGUCUACCUUCCCACUACUUUCCACAGGCAACAAAGGAUGAUAUAAUCUAGGUGUGUUUGUGGUUAUUCCAGAUGGAGCCUUAAUGAGGCAAAGUGAUCAUUUGGAUAUUGCAAACAGGUAUCUUUCUUUUACUUACCAUGUUUUCCAUGGAAAAGGUACCAUAAAUCUUGUUUAAAUGCCGGGGUGUGGGUGUGUGUAGUUUGGCAUUUGAAUGCCAUUCAUAUUAUGCUUAGCUUGGAAGACUGAGCAACCUGUAUGUGUGGACAGAAUGCAGUUUUUUAAGACAGACGAAGUCACUACUAUUUUGUCUUCUUGUCUGUCUUAACUGUUGAAAUCAAUGGCACCUGCUUUUAAGACAGCCAGGUAGUAUUUUUUUUUUUAAGAUAGACUAGAGAGCAGACAUGUAUAGGAUUGUGCUGUUAGUCUCCAGAUGGCUUGCUUUUAAUGGUUUUAUCUCUUUCAUUACCAUUUUAUUGGCUUGCCCCUCCCUUUUCGUUUCUAGGCUGCUAUUAGUGUUGUGUUGUUGUUUUUUAAAAGGGUAUACACAUCUUGAAAUAAAUAGGCUGAUAAAUAGAUGUCAUUUGUGAUGAUCCCCCUUGGGAGACGAAAUACGGAAUGGCACCACACAAUGUGUCAGUUUAAAUGCAGAUGUAUAAUUAACAGAGAACUCCUACCUUCCUUGGGUGGGGUGGGUUAUGGAAGAGUUUCCACUGCAUCCAGAGAUCUGCUGGCAAAUAGUGUUUAGGUUAGGAUGGCAGCUGGUUUAUUGUUUGCCCCCUCCCAUUGUGGCCAAAGGAAGGGAAUUAACUACAGCAACUUCAGGGUUGGCAUAGUUUUAGGUCCUGAGGGGAGCAAGAGAGCAUAGGGUCCUGAGGAACAGUGGGGCUCCCUCCCCCAACUGCCCUUCCUUCCUUCCUUCCUUCCUUCCUUCCUUCCUCUCUACCUCCCCGCCAGUGCAAAGGGAUAUCGGCUGCAUCCUACUGUCCUCUCAGAGCCACCUUCCCAAACUGAAUACUGUUACAGAUUUAAUGGAGGAGAAUCCCCCUGAAUCCUAUAAAUUAACAAAUGCCAGGGUUUUGAUUAAUUGGGAUAUGGAUUAAAGUGUAGCACUGUGCCAGCUAGGGAAUUCAGAGAAUUCCUGGGCUGGCUUAUGCAAACCAGCCUCAAUGGCCCAUCAAAAGGUGUUGAUGACAUGUUUGAGGGUUUCUGGAAAGAAGGAAGAGGAAGAGGCACUGAGAUCCACCUUUGGAGGAGACAUACUGCAGGCUGCUUGCAUUGCUACCUCUUGAAAUGACCAUGCUGUAAGAUCUGGACUCCCUCUAUGCAGACUGAUGGUUUAAAUAGGUGAAUAAACCAUACUUCCUAAAGCCACGGCAGUCCCUAUUAUCCCCAUUAUCCAAAGGGACACAGACCCUGUGUGUCUGCCUGGGACCCCAUGGGCCAGCGGUUCUCAACCUGUGGGUCCCUAGAUGUUGUCGGACUACAACUCCCAUCAUCCUUCAGCUCUGGCUGAAGGGAGUUGUAGUCCAACAACAUCUGGGGACCCACAGGUUGAGAACUGCUGCCAUGGGCUCUUGCCACCGCUUGGCAGAGAGAGGGGCAGGCACAUGGCUUUGGUAACAAUAUGAUUACUCCCUAAAAUACUAAUUGAAAUAUAGCUGUUGUUGAGCAUAGAAACAUACUAUGCUGCCUCAUACUGAGUCAGCAUUGACCCAUCUAGCUUAGCACUACCUACACUGACUGGCAGCAGCUCUCCAGGGUUCUAGGCCGGGUUCUGUUCCAGCCCUACCUGGAAAUGUGAUGGAUGGAACCUGGAGAUUUACCAGGGAUUCAGCCUGACACCUUCUGCAUUCCAAGCAAUUGAUCUAUACUGAUAAUUUUCAUUUUUAGCCUCCAGAAAACAGAAAAGCACCUAAGGAAACAGAUAAAAUCUAAAACUUGGUUUUCUGCUGUGACCCUCAGGUGAGUGGAAUCAUCUAGCUAUUCCAGCUUAGGGAUUGCUAGCCCCAAAUGUAAGGGGAGAUUUGCAAAUCUCCUUCCCCCUGCAGCUACAGACUCAGACUUUAAAUCCAAGGUAAUUUGGUGGGUUUAUUUCAUUACAAAUUAAAUUGUUUAUGAUGCUUUAUGAAACACCCAUUUCAGCGUGCACAAAAAUGGAAUGCUGUAUUUAUGAGGCAAUACAUAUGAGAGGCAGUAUAAUUUUAGUAUUUCAGAGUUAUGGCAUACCAAAAAUAUACCUUUGUCAUUAGGGAAUUGUUACGGCAAGCAAUUGGAAAUAGCCAAAACUGGAAGGUCCUAAUAGCAAAGUAAAGUUUAACAAUGCAUUGUUCUCUGGUGGUCCAGCAAAAAAGAAAAACAAAAAGUGGCUGUCCAUUCAUCCAUUUGUUCUGCUACUGCUUGGUGCAAAUCUCCUCUGAGUGCAUGCUUUGGCAAUGCCCUCCUGCCCCUUGUCUUCCAUUGGAAUAGAAGAAGAAGAAGAGUUUGGAUUUGAUAUCCCGCUUUAUCACUACCCAAAGGAGUCUCAAAGCGGCUAACAUUCUCCUUUCCCUUCCUCCCCCACAACAAACACUCUGUGAGGUGAGUGGGGCUGAGAGACUUCAGAGAAGUGUGACUGGCCCAAGGUCACCCAGCAGCUGCAUGUGGAGGAGCGGAGACGCGAACCCAGUUCACCAGAUUACGAGUCCACCGCUCUUAAUCACUACACCACACUGGCUCUCCACCACACUGGUGGAGUCUGCUCCAGUGCCCCAGAAACUCUGUGCCUGGUGCGACUCACCGGUCAUACUCUCUUAAAGCUGCCUCUGAUCCCUGGCAUCUAGGUUGUGUGGCUUCCCCUGGGCAUCCCCCCACUGCACUCGGGAAACCUACACAAUAGUCUGCACACAGGCUUCUGCGAGAGCUGGGUCCUGCAAAGAUGGAGGGUUUGGGACUGGGGAUACAGUUUUAAUGUUCCUUGAUAUUGUUUUCAGAAGGGAAUGGACAGGAAUGAUGGGAGAUGCAGUCAAACAACAUCUGAAAUUUCAUAGGUUCCCUACCCUGGUUUAUGGUGAAGCAAUCACUCACGUGACAAUGUAAUCUGCACCGGAAUACUCCAGGCUUUGCUGAAGAAGGAUGCAAUCACAAUCCUAGAACAAUGCAAGCCAUCAAGGAUUCCGGUGCCAUUCCUGCCAGAAAUAGAUCCGGUCUCACGAUUCUGCUUUGAUCCUGUAAAGCUGGUGCAGAGAAGUCCAAGAAAUUGCAGGCAAGCCCCAGCGCAGAGUGGCGAUUGCUCUCAUCACUGCUCAGGAUGCCAUUCGUAAAACAUUUUGAGAGGGGUUUCCCUCCCCAACCCUGACAUUGUGAAGACCUAACGACAAUGCGAAAGAUGCAAAGGGAAUGCUUUAUAGCCAACAACGCAGGAACAAACUCAGUUGUGUCAUGGAACCAAACACAAGGAACGUGACUGACUUCAAUAAAAGCAAGCCAC
Molecule: long non-coding RNA, 6159 nt
Filed under: Podarcis lilfordi (Lilford's wall lizard)
Lineage: Eukaryota; Metazoa; Chordata; Lepidosauria; Squamata; Lacertidae
Source: RNAcentral